AGAUUAAAAGAGAGAAAGAUUUCUGUGUGUGUUUGUGAUUUUGGCAGAACGCCUGCAGUGUGUGUCAAACCAGAGUACCAGGAUUGCCAGGGCAGAAAGGAGAAAAAGGUUCCCUUGGAGCUCCAGGUAUCCCAGGAAUGGAUGGAGAAAAGGGGGAUCAGGGUCUUCGGGGCCCAGCUGGUAAUCCUGGAAAAGAGGGUCCCAAGGGAGUGAAGGGUGAGAGAGGCUUUCCUGGUCCGAUGGGGGAUAAGGGUGAUGAGGUGAGUUAUCAGAAUUACACGGUGCAAUGCGACAAAUCUAAACUAA
RNAcentral lists this long non-coding RNA (306 nucleotides) under Sinocyclocheilus grahami. Its description in RNAcentral is "lncRNA (ENSSGRG00000020473.1)". The record is from RNAcentral. Lineage: Eukaryota; Metazoa; Chordata; Actinopteri; Cypriniformes; Cyprinidae.